CUAAUCUGCGAAAAGCUUGGAUGAGUCGAUAAGAGGCGCUUAAUCCAAGAUAUCCGAAUGGGGAAACCCAGUAGAUGAAGAAUCUACUAUCAACAAGUGAAUUCAUAGCUUGUUGAGGCAAACCGGGAGAACUGAAACAUCUAAGUACCCCGAGGAAAAGAAAUCAACCGAGAUUUCGUCAGUAGCGGCGAGCGAAAGCGAAAGAGCCAGUAAGUGAUAACAGUAUGGUUAGGAGAAUGUGUUGGGAAGCACAAUCAAAGAGGGUGAUAAUCCCGUAUCUAAAAACCAUAUUGUGGUACUAAGCUAACGAGAAGUAGGGCGGGACACGUGAUAUCCUGUUUGAAGAAGGGGGGACCAUCCUCCAAGGCUAAAUACUCCUGAUUGACCGAUAGUGAACCAGUACUGUGAAGGAAAGGCGAAAAGAACCCCGGUGAGGGGAGUGAAAUAGAACCUGAAACCUUGUACGUACAAGCAGUGGGAGCCCCAUCACUUAAUCCGAUUGGAAGGUGAUGAAAAGCAACCGCACUUAAACAAUGGUAAGAGGAGCGAAGCGAGUCAAACCACCCAAAAGAAGCAGUGGGAUUAAGUGAUGGGGUGACUGCGUACCUUUUGUAUAAUGGGUCAGCGACUUAUAUUUUGUAGCGAGGUUAACUGAAUAGGGGAGCCGAAGGGAAACCGAGUCUUAACUGGGCGAGUAGUUGCAAGGUAUAGACCCGAAACCCGGUGAUCUAGCCAUGGGCAGGUUGAAGGUUGGGUAACACUAACUGGAGGACCGAACCGACUAAUGUUGAAAAAUUAGCGGAUGACUUGUGGCUGGGGGUGAAAGGCCAAUCAAACCGGGAGAUAGCUGGUUCUCCCCGAAAUCUAUUUAGGUAGAGCCUUGAGGUGACACCUUUGGGGGUAGAGCACUGUUUCGGCUAGGGGGCCAUCCCGGCUUACCAACCCGAUGCAAACUACGAAUACCAAAGAGUGAUACUCAGGAGACACACGGCGGGUGCUAACGUCCGUCGUGGAGAGGGAAACAACCCAGACCGCCAGCUAAGGUCCCCAAGUCUAUAUUAAGUGGGAAACGAAGUGGGAAGGCUUAGACAGCUAGGAUGUUGGCUUAGAAGCAGCCAUCAUUUAAAGAAAGCGUAAUAGCUCACUAGUCGAGUCGGCCUGCGCGGAAGAUGUAACGGGGCUGAAAUAUAGCACCGAAGCUGCGGCAU
RNAcentral lists this ribosomal RNA (1208 nucleotides) under Haemophilus influenzae. RNAcentral describes it as "bacterial LSU rRNA". It matches the Rfam family "Bacterial large subunit ribosomal RNA", at positions 61 to 1208 of the family's 2925-position model. Lineage: Bacteria; Pseudomonadati; Pseudomonadota; Gammaproteobacteria; Pasteurellales; Pasteurellaceae. The record is from RNAcentral.